This 282-nucleotide long non-coding RNA is filed under the name Elaeis guineensis (African oil palm). RNAcentral describes it as "long non-coding RNA (EGUI_LNC057853)". The record is from RNAcentral. Lineage: Eukaryota; Viridiplantae; Streptophyta; Magnoliopsida; Arecales; Arecaceae.
GUGGACUACGUAGCUUCAAGUUCACCUAUUUUCUAGACAAGAUGCUUUUCUAAACAUAUACCAAACUCCUCAAGCACACCUAGAAGUACAUUCGAGCUGAGAAGGGAGAGACUAACCGACGUUGUUCUGAGGGCAAGGACCCAAAGAAGAAGAUCAAGAAAGAAGGAACCUCCAUGGGAUCCAAUCAAGCCCGCACUGAGAGGGAGGCUCCACCUUCUCGACCAAGCCCAAAGUCUAAGAACUUCAACCUUAGGUACAACUCCUACAUCCCUCUAACUACUC